Molecule: long non-coding RNA, 8418 nt
Organism: Cavia porcellus (domestic guinea pig)
Lineage: Eukaryota; Metazoa; Chordata; Mammalia; Rodentia; Caviidae
Exons: 6
Source: RefSeq, a predicted model, not a curated record
CCACGAUGAGUUGAGGCGGACAACAGCUGUCCACCAGACAGCCAGCAAGGUUCCUGGAACCCAGCUCUCUGGGCUCAGGGCUCUGGCCCCCCCAGCUGCAGCCUCCCAGCUCCAAGCUGCCGGCUCUGCUGGAAGCUCCUACCUGCCUGCCUGCCUGACUGCCUGCUGGCCUUCCUGCCUUCCAGGACCCCACGACGAUGAGCAAGAGGAGAUGAGGGGGACCACAGCCAUCCAGCACACACCACAGCACAGCCAGAUGACCACCUGGGCUGGCUGUUGGUGUAGACCAUGAGCAUCUAUAGGCUCAGAUCCCAGAGCAUAUACUUUGUGCAGGGAAGGUUUCCCACGUGGCACUGCGGCUUAGGUCGGAGACUGGAGGCCACUGGGUUCCAUACCAAUCUCUGAUGGCUGCUGCUGGACACCAGUACCCUCUGAGGUGGUGCCAGGACCCUCGGAUGGCUAUAGAUAUGUAUCCUGCCCGUUUCUACUGUGCACGUGUGUGUGAGUGUGUGGGGGAUGCCUUGCCCCAGCAGGGCCCUCCUACAUGUUCGGGCCAAGGGGUCAGGAGAUUCGUAAGGAAGGCUAUGACCAAGGAAGGAGGCCAUCGGGGAGCACCAGGGGGCACCCGCACAGCUGACACACAAAUGGACGUGAGGGUCACAUGGACUGGUUCACCUGUCUGUGGCAAGUGAAGACAGAAGAACUGUACCGACACACAGAUGGGCACAUUUUCCUGGGGCCCAUGUCUUCGAGGAACCUGCAGCCUUGUCACCCUCUGUCUAUCUGUCUGAUCAGAAGGGAGUUACCUUGUUACCUGCCACCAAGGGUGCCAUAGCAAGCGGUGGCUGUGUCUGAUGACAGACAGGAGAGAGGUGGUGCCACGUGUUGUUGGCUGUCUCUGUCUUUGGGCUGCAUGUAGGGGAACUCAGGGUUGUGUGUGUAUAGGGCUGGGUCAGCAUCCAGUGUGUGCCAGGACUGGCCUGGGUCCUUCUGAGAGCAGGCACAGCCCCUGGAAUGAAUUCCUGCUGUUGGUCUUGCCUGCCUCCAUGGGGCCUCCAAUGUUGGGGUCUUUUCCCCCUACCCUUACCUUCAUCCUGGGCUCUGCAUAGAUCCUUCAGGCUCAUACGAUGGUCUGCAUCAUGCCCACUAGCUACCCUCCAGGGCUAACAAUGGAAGGUUGUUGGGGUCACAGAGCAGCCUGAUAUUGGCUCCUCCUCUGAGGUUGAGGAAAGAGCAGUGCCAGUACCCUCUAAAGGGACUGAAUCUCUCUGUAGAGCACAGCCUAGUGUGACCCAUAUAGUUCCACCCUCCAACUGGGAGGGGGACUGAAGACCUCUAGUUCUGAUGAGCCCACCCAUCACUGAUGAAUGUCAGAUUCUAAUUAAGUCACUUCCAGCAGGACUUCUAGAGCCAGGAGGUGGUUGUUGAGGAUUUGGGGAGCAGUGUAUUAAGUUGCGGGAGUGGCCCUGGGGGGGUUCAUGUUAGGUCUACCAGAGGGGUGAGGGUUAGAGAUCUGCUGGGAUUAGGGAGCCAGUGGCUUAGAGAAGCCCCUAUUCACAUGAACCCCCACCUCCUACUCCAUCCCCCACCCACCACAAAGGAAUGCCAGUUUAGAUGCUGGAUUAGAAUCAACCCCACCCUAGAGGAAGUUGCUGUGUUGUACCAAAAAGCAACUUGACAGUCUAGUUGAAUUGUUCCCCAUGGAAAAAUUUAUUGCAUUUCUCUUUUCCUAACGUAGCAUCCUGAAACAUGGAGAAAUCACUGGCUCACCUUAAAAGUCCCAUCAGAGCAGCAAAAGGAGCCAGCCAGCAGGGUGAACCACGCCCCUUCCCCAGGCCUGCCUCACACAGGAGACAAAAAUCAGCCCUCUUACUUCACCAAAGGAGGCGGGAGGAGAAAGGUGUCUGUCUGUCUGUCUGAUGCUGAGUGAAAAUCCAUGUCAACCUCUAGCUGAAUGUCAUUUCCAGUGGGAUACCUGUCUGCCUGUUUGGUUUGGUGGUUCUCAGAUCCAGAGAUCCGUGAAAAAACACAGAAAGAGUGUUCAGGCUUGGCUCCCUGGCUCCCAGCCUCCUGCGCUCACACUGGGCACUGAUGAGUGCAGGUUCACAACACAAACAUGCUCCCCCCGCAUCCACCCACACCCCAACUCUAACAACCCACACAGAUGUCCUGAUCAUCACCUAUAAAACUGGCAUAUGAAGCUCAGCUCGGCUCAGCACUGCACUGCUCUGCUUCACUUGGCUCUGCUCAGCUGGGCUCCAUAAACCCCACAUGUGUCUGUCUAUCCAUUUGCCCCCUGAUUGGACUGACUCCUAGAUCAUCAUCCAUGAACCCACUUGGGACCCGUUUCUCUCUGUUUGCUCUCUCUCUCUCUCUCUCUCUCUCUCUCUGUCUCUCUCUCUCUCUCUCUCUGCUUUUUGUCGUGCAAGGGGCCUUGCUUUUAGCUGUCUCUCAGCUGUCCUUGUGGCCCUAUGCCUUUUUUCACUCUCUCCUCCCUGCUUUUUCUCAGACCCUAACACCACACACACCCUUAUGCCUUGAUCUUCACCCGAGAGCCUAACACUCAGGGCUCAGCUGAGCUCUGCUGAUGCAUCCCAGAUCUACCUACUCCUCUUCCUGCCUGUCUGCUGGGAUUCCCACAUCUGUCCUACACAAACACCUUUGGAUCCUCUCUCCGAUCCCUCCCUGUUUUCAUCCCCAGUCCUGUCCCUUUUACCACCCAUCUGCACACUCUCUGUACCUUUCUCUGAGCCCUUAGACUCUUUCUGCCUCACUCUCUCUGUCUGUCUCUCUGUCUCUGUCACUGUCUCUGUCUCUGUCUGUUUCUCUGUCUUUCUCUGUCUCUGCUUUCCUCUGGCCUUUGCCUAGUUUGGGUUCUCUCUGGUUUUGUUUGCAGGGGGAGGAGCUGCAGUCUUUUUUCACUCUCUCGGGUUUUCUCCCUCCCUGGGCUGCUUUCAGUCUCUCUCUGCUUUCUUACCUUCCCCUGGGCUUUUUGGGGCUGGGUCUCAGUUGUUUGUGCAGCCUCACCCAUGUCUCUGUUAACUGGGGCCUUCCCCACUCUUUUACAGACCGUAACAUCACACAGACACACACACACACACACACACACACACACACACACACACACACACAUACACACACACACACCUAUGCCCUGAUCAUCAACCAUGAGCCUAACACACACAGCAGCUCAGCUCAGCUCAGCUCAGUGGAUUCUAAUCUAAGCCUCUGCCUGGGUCUUGCUGCUGGGAUUGCCCUGUCUGUCUUCAGUCCCUUUGCCUCUUUUGGAUCCCUCCCUCCAUCCCUCAUUCCCCAGUUUAUCCCCCCCCCUCCUUUCCCAUUUACCACUGGCUGGGCUGUCCCCUCUGUGCUAUUCUCCGGGGGGCCCUUUAACUCUUUGGACAUCUCUGUCUCUGGCUGUUUCUCCAUCUCUGUCUCUGUCUCUUUCUUUGCUUUUCUCAGGACCUCUGCUCUUUGAAGUUUUACAUUCUUGCCUUUUGGCUCUGGGCUCUGUGCUCUGGUUUCUGUGCUGUGGUCUCUGGGCUCUUGGAGGCUGGGCACAGAGUGGAGGGGACUGAGUGAGUGAGUGGGCUGCCUGGGAGUGGCAGACAGGAUGCAGGGAGUGGAGUAGGGUGGCAACAGGGUGUUGGUUCCGGAGGCUUAGCUAGAGGAGUGCUGGAUUAGGGCAGGCCAGUGGACCCCAGGCAGCUAGGGUUAGGAUGGCCUGGGUUAGAAUUAGCGCAGGGUUGCAGUUUAGCCAGCCUCUGGGCUUAACAGGCAGGGAUUUAGGGAGGCAAUGGGCUGCCACGCCCCAGCAGCCAUGCCACACCCCAGGCUGGAUUGGAUCUGCUGUGGGUUCAUGCACCAUGAAUUCCACAGCCUAGGUGAAAUUUUCCAAGUGGGAAAAGUCUGUCUGCUGACUGAACAUCGAAUUCUCCGAGGCUUUCCUGCUUCCUCUCAGCAUCCAAGGCCUCCGAGGUUCUCCUGUGUCCCUGAGUCCCUGGCUUUCUGAUUUCCAAGAUUGGGCAGAGUUCAGUCAAGGUUCCCUGCCUGGCUUUAAACCCUGCUUUCUCUGGGAUUUCUGGGUUCCCUGAGCUCCCUGGGUGCCCUGCCUCCUCUAUCCUCUCUGCCUCUUCUGGCUGCCCUGGCUGGCUUCCCCAGUCUCCCUCCUGGCUUCCCUGGCACCCCUUCUUCCCAGGCUCCCUGGGCUCCCUGGCUCCUCCUUGCCUUCCUUCCUGGUCCCUGGGUGCUGCUCUGCCUCCCCAGGCUUCUCCGCCUCCUCUGUCUGCCCUGGAUUGCCUCCCUGAUGUCCUUGCUUCCCGGGCCCCCUUCCUUCCCUGGCUGCUUGCCUUCCUCUGUGCUCCUGGCCUGGCUGCCAGCCUCCUUGCCUUCACCCAGGGGCAUCAGCACAGGCCACCCUCCCUCCUAGUCCUCACUGUCCACGUGGCCAUCCCAUUUUGGUGAUUCUCCCAUCCAGAGUUCUUUGGAGUACACCCUGCUGAUCCCCACUCGCUGAUGGCUCUCUGCCCUCUCAGCCCUAAUCCCUAAUCAGCCCCAUAUUCUUUUCCACUUUUUUAAAAUGAAAAUCCUGGGGGCUGGGUGUUUAACUCAGCGGCAUAAACACCUGCCUUGCAAGCAGGGGGUCCUGAAUUCGAUCCCCGGUACAGAUAAAAAUGAAAAAGACCAAGAAAAAAAAAUGAAAUGAAAACCCUGCCUCUGAAAUCCUGAGUCCACCCCAUAAUGCCAUCCUCCUCCUCAGCCAAUGAGCGAGCCAGGAAGUGAGUGAAGGGAAAGGGGACUUCCGGGACACCAGGGUGGUGCCACAGGAGGAGAUGAAAGGAUUAGGGGCCAGGUUGAUGGGAUCUGCAGCCAGCAUGGAGGGAUUAGCUGGGCUGCACGGGCGUGGCCAGAUCUUGGGCUCCUGGGCUCCAGGGUUUCCCAUGCAUUCUCCCUGACUGACCUCAAGCCUUAACAAGCUCAGGCACCAGACACCAUGCAGCAGGAGUUAACCAGCCCACACAGCCAGACCUCUGGCUGGCCCUCCAGAGCUCCCCUUCCCUGCUUUCUCUCUCCAUUCCCCUCCAGGUUCCCAGGACCCCUCUUGCUGGCCCAGCUCCUGGCUCCCAGCUCUCCCAGGAGCUCUGCCUGCUUGCCUGGCUACCUGCCUGACUUCAGGGACCCCAUGACAAUGCGGACCAAGAAGAGAUGGGGACAACAGCCAUCUGCCAUGCAUCGAGUGAGGUUCCUGGGACUUGGCACUCCCAGCUCCUGGAUCCUGGCUCACCAUGCAUCUCCUCCCACCUGCCAGCCUGCCUGCCCUCCAGGACCCCGUGAUGAUGCGGGCCACGAUGAGUUGAGGCGGACAACAGCUGUCCACCAGACAGCCAGCAAGGUUCCUGGAACCCAGCUCUCUGGGCUCAGGGCUCUGGCCCCCCCAGCUGCAGCCUCCCAGCUCCAAGCUGCCGGCUCUGCUGGAAGCUCCUACCUGCCUGCCUGCCUGACUGCCUGCUGGCCUUCCUGCCUUCCAGGACCCCACGACGAUGAGCAAGAGGAGAUGAGGGGGACCACAGCCAUCCAGCACACACCACAGCACAGCCAGAUGACCACCUGGGCUGGCUGUUGGUGUAGACCAUGAGCAUCUAUAGGCUCAGAUCCCAGAGCAUAUACUUUGUGCAGGGAAGGUUUCCCACGUGGCACUGCGGCUUAGGUCGGAGACUGGAGGCCACUGGGUUCCAUACCAAUCUCUGAUGGCUGCUGCUGGACACCAGUACCCUCUGAGGUGGUGCCAGGACCCUCGGAUGGCUAUAGAUAUGUAUCCUGCCCGUUUCUACUGUGCACGUGUGUGUGAGUGUGUGGGGGAUGCCUUGCCCCAGCAGGGCCCUCCUACAUGUUCGGGCCAAGGGGUCAGGAGAUUCGUAAGGAAGGCUAUGACCAAGGAAGGAGGCCAUCGGGGAGCACCAGGGGGCACCCGCACAGCUGACACACAAAUGGACGUGAGGGUCACAUGGACUGGUUCACCUGUCUGUGGCAAGUGAAGACAGAAGAACUGUACCGACACACAGAUGGGCACAUUUUCCUGGGGCCCAUGUCUUCGAGGAACCUGCAGCCUUGUCACCCUCUGUCUAUCUGUCUGAUCAGAAGGGAGUUACCUUGUUACCUGCCACCAAGGGUGCCAUAGCAAGCGGUGGCUGUGUCUGAUGACAGACAGGAGAGAGGUGGUGCCACGUGUUGUUGGCUGUCUCUGUCUUUGGGCUGCAUGUAGGGGAACUCAGGGUUGUGUGUGUAUAGGGCUGGGUCAGCAUCCAGUGUGUGCCAGGACUGGCCUGGGUCCUUCUGAGAGCAGGCACAGCCCCUGGAAUGAAUUCCUGCUGUUGGUCUUGCCUGCCUCCAUGGGGCCUCCAAUGUUGGGGUCUUUUCCCCCUACCCUUACCUUCAUCCUGGGCUCUGCAUAGAUCCUUCAGGCUCAUACGAUGGUCUGCAUCAUGCCCACUAGCUACCCUCCAGGGCUAACAAUGGAAGGUUGUUGGGGUCACAGAGCAGCCUGAUAUUGGCUCCUCCUCUGAGGUUGAGGAAAGAGCAGUGCCAGUACCCUCUAAAGGGACUGAAUCUCUCUGUAGAGCACAGCCUAGUGUGACCCAUAUAGUUCCACCCUCCAACUAGGAGGGGGACUGAAGACCUCUAGUUCUGAUGAGCCCACCCAUCACUGAUGAAUGUCAGAUUCUAAUUAAGUCACUUCCAGCAGGACUUCUAGAGCCAGGAGGUGGUUGUUGAGGAUUUGGGGAGCAGUGUAUUAAGUUGCGGGAGUGGCCCUGGGGGGUUCAUGUUAGGUCUACCAGAGGGGUGAGGGUUAGAGAUCUGCUGGGAUUAGGGAGCCAGUGGCUUAGAGAAGCCCCUAUUCACAUGAACCCCCACCUCCUACUCCAUCCCCCACCCACCACAAAGGAAUGCCAGCUUAGAGGCUGGAUUAGAAACACCCCCACCUAGAGAGGAAGUUGCUGUGUUGUACCAAAAAGCAACUUGACAGUCUAGUUGAAUUGUUCCCCAUGGAAAAAUUUAUUGCAUUUCUCUUUUCCUAACGUAGCAUCCUGAAACAUGGAGAAAUCACUGGCUCACCUUAAAAGUCCCAUCAGAGCAGCAAAAGGAGCCAGCCAGCAGGGUGAACCACGCCCCUUCCCCAGGCCUGCCUCACACAGGAGACAAAAAUCAGCCCUCUUACUUCACCAAAGGAGGCGGGAGGAGAAAGGUGUCUGUCUGUCUGUCUGAUGCUGAGUGAAAAUCCAUGUCAAACUCUAGCUGAAUGUCAUUUCCAGUGGGAUACCUGUCUGCCUGUUUGGUUUGGUGGUUCUCAGAUCCAGAGAUCCGUGAAAAAACACAGAAAGAGUGUUCAGGCUUGGCUCCCUGGCUCCCAGCCUCCUGCGCUCACACUGGGCACUGAUGAGUGCAGGUUCACAACACAAACAUGCUCCCCCCGCAUCCACCCACACCCCAACUCUAACAACCCACACAGAUGUCCUGAUCAUCACCUAUAAAACUGGCAUAUGAAGCUCAGCUCGGCUCAGCACUGCACUGCUCUGCUUCACUUGGCUCUGCUCAGCUGGGCUCCAUAAACCCCACAUGUGUCUGUCUAUCCAUUUGCCCCCUGAUUGGACUGACUCCUAGAUCAUCAUCCAUGAACCCACUUGGGACCCGUUUCUCUCUGUUUGCUCUCUCUCUCUCUCUCUCUGUCUCUCUCUCUCUCUCUCUCUGCUUUUUGUCGUGCAAGGGGCCUUGCUUUUAGCUGUCUCUCAGCUGUCCUUGUGGCCCUAUGCCUUUUUUCACUCUCUCCUCCCUGCUUUUUCUCAGACCCUAACACCACACACACCCUUAUGCCUUGAUCUUCACCCGAGAGCCUAACACUCAGGGCUCAGCUGAGCUCUGCUGAUGGAUCCCAGAUCUACCUACUCCUCUUCCUGCCUGUCUGCUGGGAUUCCCACAUCUGUCCUACACAAACACCUUUGGAUCCUCUCUCCGAUCCCUCCCUGUUUUCAUCCCCAGUCCUGUCCCUUUUACCACCCAUCUGCACACUCUCUGUACCUUUCUCUGAGCCCUUAGACUCUUUCUGCCUCACUCUCUCUGUCUGUCUCUCUGUCUCUGUCACUGUCUCUGUCUCUGUCUGUUUCUCUGUCUUUCUCUGUCUCUGCUUUCCUCUGGCCUUUGCCUAGUUUGGGUUCUCUCUGGUUUUGUUUGCAGGGGGAGGAGCUGCAGUCUUUUUUCACUCUCUCGGGUUUUCUCCCUCCCUGGGCUGCUUUCAGUCUCUCUCUGCUUUCUUACCUUCCCCUGGGCUUUUUGGGGCUGGGUCUCAGUUGUUUGUGCAGCCUCACCCAUGUCUCUGUUAACUGGGGCCUUCCCCACUCUUUUACAGACCGUAACAUCACACAG